UAUCUAUUCAUUUCAUGAAUUUUAUAAUUUUUUCCAAAAAAUUUUGUGUAGCAAUAAGUUGUUACCAUUAUGUUACAGCAGUUACAGCCAUGUUUUCUUUACCAGUGAAUGCGGCCACGACCGUAAUUGAAAUUCAUUGUUCUUAUGAAUAAAACAUAUCAAAUAUAACUUCAAAUCAAUUUUUAAUACACUCUAACAAAUAUAUUUAAGAAGGUGCUUUUCUCAACUGCUGCUCCAACAGCAAUGCCAAACAAAACCUUCACAAUCAAAUGCACUCAGCCAUUGCACUAUUCCCUUUCCUAGUCCUUUAAUAGCAAAUGUCAAAUCUUGGGUGUCGACAAAACGCAGUUGGAACAUGCCUUUGGAAAAAAAAUUUAACAGUAGUUCCACUCCCUUUUAGACUAAACACUUUUAUUAGCUGGCAAACACAAAGAUUGUUGAUGCAGACUACUGCAUUAUGGACAAAAAUUGCAAUUUAAACAAACACAGUAUCAAACCAUUCAAAGGAAAGUGAGGUGGGCCUUAAGAUCAAUUCUUUCCAUUGACCGCAAAAGGAAAAUAUUAAUAAACAAAAAAGAAGGUUGCUUUGUGUCUAUCACGCUCGAAGAACCAAUCUUUAAGGUGGUUUGUUCACAUAAAACUAAUUUCAAUACUCCAAC
RNAcentral lists this unclassified non-coding RNA (659 nucleotides) under Hevea brasiliensis (rubber tree). Lineage: Eukaryota; Viridiplantae; Streptophyta; Magnoliopsida; Malpighiales; Euphorbiaceae. The record is from RNAcentral.